RNAcentral lists this long non-coding RNA (1133 nucleotides) under Cricetulus griseus (Chinese hamster). RNAcentral's name for it is "lncRNA (ENSCGRG00015036313.1)". Lineage: Eukaryota; Metazoa; Chordata; Mammalia; Rodentia; Cricetidae. The record is from RNAcentral.
CUACUCAUAUUUACAUAUCCACCCCUCAUUCCCUCGCCCUCCCAUCCUUCCAUGUUCCCCACCAACCCCCCAACUCCUCCCCAGGAACAGUGAGGCCCUCCAAGAGGGACCUUCAAAGUCUGUCAUAUCAUUUAGGGGAGAGCCUAGGACCUCCUUGCUGUAUCUGAGCUGCAAUAGUAUCCCUCCAUAGGGAGUGGCCUACCAAAGUCCAUUUGUGAUCUAGGGAUAAAGACUGGCUCCACUGUUAGAGAGGUCCCAUAGGCUGUCUUGGCCUCCUUUCUGGCACCCACAUUCAGAGGGCUUGGUUCAGUCCAAUGCUGUUUCUGCAGCUUUAUGACUAGGGUCUCCAUGCUCUCACUAGGUCAGCUCAACAGUUUCUGUGGGUUUCUGCAGCACCGUCUUGGCUCCUUUGCUCAUCUCUCCUCCCUCUCCACAAUUGGAUUCCAGUAGUAUGGUUCAGUGCUUAGCUGUGGGUGCUGGUCUCUGCUUCGAACAGCUACUGGAUGAAGGCUUUAGGAAUGAACAUGUGUUACUUAAUGAUUUAAAAACUGUGAGAUUAGGUACCAAUAUUACCAUCAUCAAAUCUGAAAAAAUUAGGAAACUAAGAAACUUGUCUAAUAUAACAAAGCAAUACCAGGUAGAGCUCAGAUCCAAGUCAAAGUGGUGUGGUUCUAGAGUCCGCAGAAAAGUUGCCAGCAAUCUAGAGUGUAGGGAGACAGCCUAGCCCGGCCCAAUAGUCCCAGGACAGGUGCCAGGUGGACCCAGGACUGGCCCAUAAGGGUGUGGUGAAGGAAAGCCGGGGUGAUGUAAGGAAUGGUUCUUAAGGGCUGCAUGUGGAGACCCUGGCCCCUUCUCUCUGGCUGUGCUAGCUUGGUUCCUGUGACCUUGCUCUGGCCUGCGUUUUGCCCUGGUGCUUUCUUGAAUAAAGAAAUCUUACCAUCACAGACUAUAGUUCAUCUCUGGGCGCACGUGGAAAUCCUAAGACUGGAGUGUCUUAGAUUUACUUUAUUUUUAACUGUGUAUAUGUGAGGGAUGGUGUGUACCUGAUUGCAGUUGUUCUCAGAGGUGACUGACAUUGGAGACCCUGAAACUGUAGUGGCAGAUGGUUGUAAGCUGCCCCAUGUGGGUGCUUG